RNAcentral lists this ribosomal RNA (766 nucleotides) under Schizopora radula. Its description in RNAcentral is "partial large subunit ribosomal RNA". It matches the Rfam family "Eukaryotic large subunit ribosomal RNA", at positions 148 to 903 of the family's 3401-position model. The record is from RNAcentral. Lineage: Eukaryota; Fungi; Basidiomycota; Agaricomycetes; Hymenochaetales; Schizoporaceae.
AUCUGGAGAAGCAUUUUCCGCGUCGGACCGUGUACAAGUUUCUUGGAAUAGAACGUCAUAGAGGGUGAGAAUCCCGUCCAUGACACGGACUACCGAUGCUUUGUGAUAUGCUCUCGAAGAGUCGAGUUGUUUGGGAAUGCAGCUCAAAAUGGGUGGUAAAUUCCAUCUAAAGCUAAAUAUUGGCGAGAGACCGAUAGCGAACAAGUACCGUGAGGGAAAGAUGAAAAGCACUUUGGAAAGAGAGUUAAACAGUACGUGAAAUUGUUGAAAGGGAAACGCUUGAAGUCAGUCGCGUUGGCAGAGACUCAGCCUUGCUUUGCAUGGUGUACUUCUCAGUUAACGGGUCAACAUCAAUUUCAGUUGGUGGAUAAAGGCAUUGGGAAUGUGGCACCUUCGGGUGUGUUAUAGACCUUUGUUGCAUACACUGACCGGGAUUGAGGAACGCAGCACGCCACUACGGCCAGGGAUUCGUCCCAUGUAACGUGCUUAGGAUGUUGGCAUAAUGGCUUUAAGCGACCCGUCUUGAAACACGGACCAAGGAGUCUAACAUGCCUGCGAGUAUUAGGGUGGAAAACCCUUGUGCGUAAUUAACGUGAAAGUUGGGACCUCUUGCGAGGGCACCGACGCCCGGCCCUGAAGUUUACUGACGGCGCUGCGGUAGAGCAUGUAUGUUGGGACCCGAAAGAUGGUGAACUAUGCCUGAAUAGGGUGAAGCCAGGGGAAACUCUGGUGGAGGCUCGUAGCGAUUCUGACGUGCAAAUCGAUC